CAGUUCGGAUUGGAGUCUGCAACUCGACUCCAUGAAGCUGGAUUCGCUAGUAAUCGCGCAUCAGCCAUGGCGCGGUGAAUACGUUCCCGGGCCUUGUACACACCGCCCGUCAAACCAUGGGAGUCGGGAGUGCCUGAAGUUCGUGACCGUCACAGGAGCGACCUAAGGCAAGACCGAUGACUGGGGCUAAGUCGUAACAAGGUAUC
This 206-nucleotide ribosomal RNA is filed under the name uncultured bacterium. RNAcentral describes it as "partial 16S ribosomal RNA". It matches the Rfam family "Bacterial small subunit ribosomal RNA", at positions 1289 to 1500 of the family's 1533-position model. The record is from RNAcentral.